UAGGUAUAACUUUAAAGUUUAAAGACAUUUUACAGAGUACAUUAGGUCAGCUUUAGUCUUUCAUUUGAAAAACAGAGAUCUAGAUCUUCUGGCCUCUGGCCCAAACUCCAGCAGCUGCAACACUAUGGCUGGGCCAGACCAACGCAAAGAGCAAGGAGCUUCUUCAGGGUUUCCCAUGUGAGUGCGAGGACCCAUUGGGCCAUUCUCUGCCGCUUUCCCAGUUGCACCUGCAGGGAGCUGAAGUUGUCUGGACAUGAACCAGUACCCACAUGGGAUGCUGGCAUCAUAGCUGGCAGCUUAGCCUGUUACGGAGGCCCCAGUUCUGUCCAAGGGCCCCUGUGGCCUUCGAAGACGGCACCACUCGAAGACCUCCGUGCUUGGGUGACACAGGACACUGGAUGGCAACUUUCUCUGGCUUCAUCGUUCCUGCAUUUUCCUGGGCCAAGUACCCUCCUCCACCCCCCAGCUACAGG
Ochotona princeps (American pika) is the source of this 473-nucleotide long non-coding RNA. RefSeq lists it as uncharacterized. NCBI's taxonomy places the organism in Eukaryota, Metazoa, Chordata, Mammalia, Lagomorpha, Ochotonidae. The record is from RefSeq and is a predicted model, not a curated record. The transcript has 3 exons.